GUGGGUAUAGCUCAGUGGUAGAGUGUAUGCUUAGCAUGCACAAGGUCCUGGGUUCAACCCCCAGUACCUCCA
This 72-nucleotide transfer RNA is filed under the name Camelus bactrianus (Bactrian camel). It matches the Rfam family "tRNA". Rfam says of the family: Transfer RNA (tRNA) molecules are approximately 80 nucleotides in length. Their secondary structure includes four short double-helical elements and three loops (D, anti-codon, and T loops). Further hydrogen bonds mediate the characteristic L-shaped molecular structure. tRNAs have two regions of fundamental functional importance: the anti-codon, which is responsible for specific mRNA codon recognition, and the 3' end, to which the tRNAs corresponding amino acid is attached (by aminoacyl-tRNA synthetases). tRNAs cope with the degeneracy of the genetic code in two manners: having more than one tRNA (with a specific anti-codon) for a particular amino acid; and 'wobble' base-pairing, i.e. permitting non-standard base-pairing at the 3rd anti-codon position. RNAcentral also lists the same sequence under 2 other names. Lineage: Eukaryota; Metazoa; Chordata; Mammalia; Artiodactyla; Camelidae. The record is from Rfam by way of RNAcentral.